RNAcentral lists this ribosomal RNA (494 nucleotides) under uncultured bacterium. RNAcentral describes it as "partial 16S ribosomal RNA". It matches the Rfam family "Bacterial small subunit ribosomal RNA", at positions 28 to 507 of the family's 1533-position model. The record is from RNAcentral.
GACGAACGCUGGCGGCGUGCUUAACACAUGCAAGUCGAACGGAAAGGCCUGCUUUCCCUUGUGGAUUGCGGGUACUCGAGUGGCGAACGGGUGAGUAACACGUGAGUGAUCUGCCCCCAACUUGGGUAUAAGCCUGGGAAACUGGGUCUAAUUCACGAUAGGACUGCAGGGUGGUGCGUGUGGUGGAAAACGAUUUUCUAGUGGUUGCGGAUGAGCACGCGGCCUAUCAGCUUGUGGGUGGGGUAAUGGCCGACCAAGGCGGCGACGGGUAGCCGGCCGGGGGGGAGGGAGCGUCACAGUGGGACUGAGAUCCGGCCCAGAGUCCUACGGGCGGCAGCCGUGGGGGAGGCAGCAGUGUGGGCGGAAGCCUGAUGCAGCGACGCUGCGUGGGGGAUGUCGUCCUUCGGGUUGUAAGCUCCUCUCGACGUAGAGGAAUCCACCUGGGUGGGAGGGUGGUGACGGUAGUGGUAGAAGAAGCACCGGCUAACUACGUG